RNAcentral lists this ribosomal RNA (1447 nucleotides) under Dehalococcoidia bacterium. RNAcentral describes it as "partial 23S ribosomal RNA". It matches the Rfam family "Bacterial large subunit ribosomal RNA", at positions 1 to 1399 of the family's 2925-position model. The record is from RNAcentral. Lineage: Bacteria; Bacillati; Chloroflexota; Dehalococcoidia.
AGGUCAAGCUACUAAGGGCGCACGGGGGAUGCCUUGGUGCCAAGAGCCGAAGAAGGGCGCGGCGAGACUGCGAAAAGCCUCGGUGAGCUGUCGGGCAAGCUGAGCCGGGGAUUCCCGAAUGGGGUAACCCACUCAGGUAAAACCUGAGUACUCCUAGCUGAACACAUAGGCUAGGAGGGGUAAGUGGGGGAACUGAAACAUCUAAGUACCCCGAGGAAAAGAUAUGUAUUCCCUGAGUAGUGGCGAACGAAAGGGGAACAGCCCAAACCCUGGUGACUCAGUGGACUCGAGUCCUAUGUCAUCAGGGGGUUGUAAGACAUGACUUGGAAAGGGCUCGAGACCUUUCCGGGAGUUACAAACCAUAACCCUAGCUGAAGGUCUCUGGAAUGAGCCGCCGCAGAGGGUGAAAGCCCCGUAGGCGAAAGGGGAAGGCUCCUGGUCAUGAUCUUGAGUACCACGGGACACGUGAAAUCUUGUGGGAAGCUGGGGUGACCACACUCCAAGGCUAAAUACUCUUGGCGACCGAUAGUGAACUAGUACCGUGAGGGAAAGGUGAAAAGAACCCCGGGAGGGGAGUGAAAGAGAUCUGAAACCGUGUGCCUACAAGCAGUCAGAGCCCUUCCUCGGAAGGGUGAUGGCGUGCCUAUUGAAGAAUGAGCCGACGAGUUAAUCUGUGUAGCUAGGUUAAGUCGCUUACGCGACGGAGCCGUAGCGAAAGCGAGUCCGAAUAGGGCGAUGCCGCUUCGGCGGCAGGUUGCAUGGAUUAGACCCGAAGCCGGGUGAGCUAACCAUGGCCAGGGUGAAGGUCGCCUAACCGCGACUGGAGGCCCGAACCCACCAGUGAGGCAAAACUGGGGGAUGAGCUGUGGUUAGAGGUGAAAUGCCAACCGAACCCGGAGAUAGCUGGUUCUCCCCGAAAUGCAUUUAGGUGCAGCCUCGGGUGUUGAGUUGCGCAGGUAGAGCGCUGGAUGGGCUAGGGGGCAAGCAGCUUACCAAACUCAACCAAACUGCGAAUGGCGUAACUAGAAAGCCCGGGAGUGAGACGGUGGGGGAUAAGCCUCAUCGUCGAGAGGGAAACAGCCCAGACCAUCAGCUAAGGUCCCCAAGUGUAGGCUAAGUGGUAAAGGAUGUAGAGUUGCUCAGACAGCCAGGAUGUUGGCUUAGAGGCAGUCACCAUUUAAAGAGUGCGUAACAGCUCACUGGUCGAGUGACUUUGCGCCGAAAAUGUAGCGGGGCUUAAGUCUACCACCGAAGCUAUGGGUUCGAUUUAUCGGACGGUAGGGGAGCGUUGCCUCCGCGUCGAAGCCUCGUCGUGAGUCGGGGUGGAGUGGAGGGAAGUGAGAAUGUCGGCAUGAGUAGCGCCAGGCGUGUGAGAAACACGUCCACCGUAAGCCUAAGGUUUCCUACGGAAGGUUAAUCCGCGUAGGGUUAGUCGGGCCUAAGCCGA